This 253-nucleotide long non-coding RNA is filed under the name Nicotiana benthamiana. RNAcentral describes it as "long non-coding RNA (NBEN_LNC041349)". Lineage: Eukaryota; Viridiplantae; Streptophyta; Magnoliopsida; Solanales; Solanaceae. The record is from RNAcentral.
UUCCCUUCCUCAAACCAGAGAAACCUCCCCCGGAACUCUAAUAGCCACCCCCAAAUUCCGCCGACGGCGAUGGCGGCGCCACCUCCAUUUCCAUCCAAAAUUACACCCCCUUUAUUCUUCUCCUCCUCCUCGUUACCGAUCCACAACCCAUUCCCCUCGAACCCCAACCAAACUCGUCGAAUCUUCAACCAAAGUUUUUCAGCCAAAACUCAACUUUAUCUGUUCACCAUCAAAUUUACACCAUAGGACCUCC